AAGUCGUAACAAGGUUUCCGUAGGUGAACCUGCGGAAGGAUCAUUACCUUUCAAUGCAGCAGAGUUGGGAUGGUUGAGUAUCUCGCCUUUCAACGCUGCCUGUAUUCUACCCUUGUUUGCCAUAUACUAUUAUUUCCUCGGCAGGCUUGCCUGCCGAGUGAAACCAAUUAUAACCUAUUUAAUUUUCAAUCAGCGUCUGACAAAAUUAAUAAUUACAACUUUCAACAACGGAUCUCUUGGUUCUG
RNAcentral lists this unclassified non-coding RNA (245 nucleotides) under Paraphoma chrysanthemicola. RNAcentral describes it as "partial internal transcribed spacer region". The stretch from base 1 to 46 matches the Rfam family "Eukaryotic small subunit ribosomal RNA", at positions 1786 to 1831 of the family's 1831-position model. Lineage: Eukaryota; Fungi; Ascomycota; Dothideomycetes; Pleosporales; Phaeosphaeriaceae. The record is from RNAcentral.